RNAcentral lists this transfer RNA (74 nucleotides) under Acetobacter pasteurianus. Its description in RNAcentral is "tRNA-Gln". It matches the Rfam family "tRNA". Rfam says of the family: Transfer RNA (tRNA) molecules are approximately 80 nucleotides in length. Their secondary structure includes four short double-helical elements and three loops (D, anti-codon, and T loops). The record is from RNAcentral. RNAcentral also lists the same sequence under 4 other names. Lineage: Bacteria; Pseudomonadati; Pseudomonadota; Alphaproteobacteria; Acetobacterales; Acetobacteraceae.
UGGGGUAUAGCCAAGCGGUAAGGCAUCGGAUUUUGAUUCCGUGACCGGAGGUUCGAAUCCUCCUACCCCAGCCA